UUCGGUAAGUGGAGACCGGCAGACGGGUGAGUAACACGUGGGAACAUACCAAGUAGUGGGGGAUAACAGUUGGAAACGACUGCUAAUACCGCAUACGCCCUUCGGGGGAAAGAUUUAUCGCUAUUUGAUUGGCCCGCGUUAGAUUAGCUAGUUGGUAAGGUAACGGCUUACCAAGGCGACGAUCUAUAGCUGGUUUGAGAGGAUGAUCAGCCACACUGGGACUGAGACACGGCCCAGACUCCUACGGGAGGCAGCAGUGGGGAAUAUUGCGCAAUGGAGGAAACUCUGACGCAGCCAUGCCGCGUGAGUGAAGAAGGCCCUAGGGUUGUAAAGCUCUUUCAGAUGUGAUGAUGAUGACAGUAGCAUCAAAAGAAGUUCCGGCUAACUUCGUGCCAGCAGCCGCGGUAAUACGAAGGGAACUAGCGUUGUUCGGAUUUACUGGGCGUAAAGAGCAUGUAGGCGGAUUGGUCAGUUGGAGGUGAAAUCCCGGAGCUCAACUCCGGAACUGCCUUCAAUACUGCCAGUCUAGAGUCCGUAAGGGGGUGGUGGAAUUCCGAGUGUAGAGGUGAAAUUCGUAGAUAUUCGGAGGAACACCAGUGGCGAAGGCGACCACCUGGUACGGUACUGA
RNAcentral lists this ribosomal RNA (628 nucleotides) under Terasakiella pusilla. RNAcentral's name for it is "bacterial SSU rRNA". It matches the Rfam family "Bacterial small subunit ribosomal RNA", at positions 80 to 743 of the family's 1533-position model. The record is from RNAcentral. Lineage: Bacteria; Pseudomonadati; Pseudomonadota; Alphaproteobacteria; Rhodospirillales; Terasakiellaceae.